AAUUUUGGACAAUGGGGGAAAGUCUGCCGGAGCAACGCCGCGUGAGCGAUGAAGGCCUUCGUGUCGGAUAGCUCUGUCUGGAGGGAUGAAAAAAAUGACAGUAGCUCCGGAGGAAGCGCCGGCGAACUACGUGCCAGCAGCCGCGGUAAUACGUAGGGGGCAAGCGUUGUCCGGAAUUAUUGGGCGUAAAGGGUGCGUAGGCGGCUUUUUAAGUCAGAUGUGAAAGAACACGGCUUAACCGUGGGGUUGAAUUUGAAACUGGAAGGCUUGAGUAUCGGAGAGGGUAGUGGAAUUCCCAGUGUAGCGGUGAAAUGCGUAGAUAUUGGGAGGAACACCAGUGGCGAAGGCGACUACCUGGACGAAAACUGACGCUGAUGCACGAAAGCUAGGGGAGCAAACA
RNAcentral lists this ribosomal RNA (400 nucleotides) under uncultured bacterium. RNAcentral's name for it is "partial 16S ribosomal RNA". It matches the Rfam family "Bacterial small subunit ribosomal RNA", at positions 360 to 774 of the family's 1533-position model. The record is from RNAcentral.